Molecule: ribosomal RNA, 253 nt
Filed under: uncultured bacterium
Lineage: Bacteria
Description: partial 16S ribosomal RNA
Rfam family: Bacterial small subunit ribosomal RNA
Source: RNAcentral
UACGUAGGGUGCAAGCGUUGUCCGGAAUUAUUGGGCGUAAAGAGCUCGUAGGCGGUUUGUCGCGUCUGCUGUGAAAACUCGGGGCUUAACUCCGGGCCUGCAGUGGGUACGGGCAGACUAGAGUGCGGUAGGGGAGACUGGAAUUCCUGGUGUAGCGGUGAAAUGCGUAGAUAUCGAGAGGAACACCUGCGGCGAAGGCGGGUUGCUGGGCUGACACUGACGCUGAAGCGCGAAAGCUAGGGGAGCGAACGGG